This 157-nucleotide small nucleolar RNA is filed under the name Phocoena sinus (vaquita). Its description in RNAcentral is "Small nucleolar RNA SNORA8 (ENSPSNG00000017485.1)". It matches the Rfam family "Small nucleolar RNA SNORA8". Rfam says of the family: ACA8 is a member of the H/ACA class of snoRNA that guide the sites of modification of uridines to pseudouridines. Lineage: Eukaryota; Metazoa; Chordata; Mammalia; Artiodactyla; Phocoenidae. The record is from Rfam by way of RNAcentral.
AGCCUUUUGUUCCUGUUAAGGAAAGAUUUAGGGGAAAAAAAUCAGACAGUCAAAAUAUAAACUAGACAAAGGACAGUGCAAUAUAAAUUCAGUAUUUGGCAUCGUUGGUUUUCUUGGCUUUGUGCAUGUUAGACCUGGUAUUUCUACUGAUACAGUA